UGAAUAUGAGUGAGUACUCCUUCAUACUCAUGCUACCCUACUUCAAAUUUAUAAACUCUUGAACCUUAUCUUCUCUAAACUUUAGUGGGAAGAGUCUGUCCAAGAAAUUUAUGGAGAACUCCUCCAACUCUAUAGGUCCAGCAUCAUCCUGCAUCAACACCCCUGUCCUUCUUCCACUGCUUGAAUAAAGUGUGAGCUACUCCCUUUAAUUGGUAAUCC
This 219-nucleotide long non-coding RNA is filed under the name Capsicum annuum. RNAcentral describes it as "long non-coding RNA (CANN_LNC017527)". Lineage: Eukaryota; Viridiplantae; Streptophyta; Magnoliopsida; Solanales; Solanaceae. The record is from RNAcentral.